UGACAGCCCCGUACACAAAAAUGCACAUGCUGUGAGCUCGAUGAGUAGGGCGGGACACGUGGUAUCCUGUCUGAAUAUGGGGGGACCAUCCUCCAAGGCUAAAUACUCCUGACUGACCGAUAGUGAACCAGUACCGUGAGGGAAAGGCGAAAAGAACCCCGGCGAGGGGAGUGAAAAAGAACCUGAAACCGUGUACGUACAAGCAGUGGGAGCACGCUUAGGCGUGUGACUGCGUACCUUUUGUAUAAUGGGUCAGCGACUUAUAUUCUGUAGCAAGGUUAACCGAAUAGGGGAGCCGAAGGGAAACCGAGUCUUAACUGGGCGUUAAGUUGCAGGGUAUAGACCCGAAACCCGGUGAUCUAGCCAUGGGCAGGUUGAAGGUUGGGUAACACUAACUGGAGGACCGAACCGACUAAUGUUGAAAAAUUAGCGGAUGACUUGUGGCUGGGGGUGAAAGGCCAAUCAAACCGGGAGAUAGCUGGUUCUCCCCGAAAGCUAUUUAGGUAGCGCCUCGUGAAUUCAUCUCCGGGGGUAGAGCACUGUUUCGGCAAGGGGGUCAUCCCGACUUACCAACCCGAUGCAAACUGCGAAUACCGGAGAAUGUUAUCACGGGAGACACACGGCGGGUGCUAACGUCCGUCGUGAAGAGGGAAACAACCCAGACCGCCAGCUAAGGUCCCAAAGUCAUGGUUAAGUGGGAAACGAUGUGGGAAGGCCCAGACAGCCAGGAUGUUGGCUUAGAAGCAGCCAUCAUUUAAAGAAAGCGUAAUAGCUCACUGGUCGAGUCGGCCUGCGCGGAAGAUGUAACGGGGCUAAACCAUGCACCGAAGCUGCGGCAGCGACGCUUAUGCGUUGUUGGGUAGGGGAGCGUUCUGUAAGCCUGCGAAGGUGUGCUGUGAGGCAUGCUGGAGGUAUCAGAAGUGCGAA
RNAcentral lists this ribosomal RNA (927 nucleotides) under Escherichia coli. RNAcentral's name for it is "partial 23S ribosomal RNA". It matches the Rfam family "Bacterial large subunit ribosomal RNA", at positions 365 to 1294 of the family's 2925-position model. Lineage: Bacteria; Pseudomonadati; Pseudomonadota; Gammaproteobacteria; Enterobacterales; Enterobacteriaceae. The record is from RNAcentral.